GGAGAGAUGGCCGAGUGGUCGAAGGCGCUCCCCUGCUAAGGGAGUAUGCGGCAAAACUGUAUCGAGGGUUCGAAUCCCUCUCUCUCCGCCA
RNAcentral lists this transfer RNA (91 nucleotides) under Candidatus Midichloria mitochondrii. RNAcentral describes it as "tRNA-Ser(gct)". It matches the Rfam family "tRNA". Rfam says of the family: Transfer RNA (tRNA) molecules are approximately 80 nucleotides in length. Their secondary structure includes four short double-helical elements and three loops (D, anti-codon, and T loops). Further hydrogen bonds mediate the characteristic L-shaped molecular structure. tRNAs have two regions of fundamental functional importance: the anti-codon, which is responsible for specific mRNA codon recognition, and the 3' end, to which the tRNAs corresponding amino acid is attached (by aminoacyl-tRNA synthetases). tRNAs cope with the degeneracy of the genetic code in two manners: having more than one tRNA (with a specific anti-codon) for a particular amino acid; and 'wobble' base-pairing, i.e. permitting non-standard base-pairing at the 3rd anti-codon position. The record is from RNAcentral. Lineage: Bacteria; Pseudomonadati; Pseudomonadota; Alphaproteobacteria; Rickettsiales; Candidatus Midichloriaceae. RNAcentral also lists the same sequence under 1 other name.